UGAAGCUGGAAUUGCUAGUAACCACAGGUCAGCAUACUGUGGUGAAUACGUUCCCGGGCCUUGUACACACCGCCCGUCACACCAUGAGAGUUGAGAAUACCCGAAGCCCAUGUCAAAGUGGUCGAAGGUAGGCUUGAUGAUUGGGGUGAAGUCGUAACAAGGUACC
RNAcentral lists this ribosomal RNA (166 nucleotides) under uncultured bacterium. RNAcentral describes it as "partial 16S ribosomal RNA". It matches the Rfam family "Bacterial small subunit ribosomal RNA", at positions 1321 to 1500 of the family's 1533-position model. The record is from RNAcentral.